RNAcentral lists this long non-coding RNA (1437 nucleotides) under Malus domestica (apple). Its description in RNAcentral is "long non-coding RNA (MDOM_LNC006086)". The record is from RNAcentral. Lineage: Eukaryota; Viridiplantae; Streptophyta; Magnoliopsida; Rosales; Rosaceae.
AAAUCUAUAAAAUGUUUAAAGACUUUAGUCACUUAAUAACAAGACAUUAACUUAGUGAAGAUUGAAACAAAUGAGCUUGAAAGGUUUUUUAAGCUACUACACAAUGUCUUCUACCAAUAUAAUCCACUUUUAUACAUUUUGAAUGUAUGAAAUGAUUUCUCAUUAAAGUCAUGAGAAAUAGUGGGAGGUGUGAAAAUGGAUAUAAAAUUGAAUAUGAUUGGUUUAUAGUUGUCUAAAGGAUAAUAGUACUUGACUAUUAUUAAGAGUUUGUAAUUUUAAUUGUUAAAGGACUCAAGCUCUUCAAACGUUAAAAAUUCUAUGUUGUGUGACAUUCUAAAAGAAUAGUCUUUGAAUGCUGGUUUCGUCAACCUAGCAUAAAAUGGUUAUAUGUUGGGAGUUGUCCAUCAUUCUCUUUUAAGAGAACAAGCUAAAUAACUAAGCAUAUGGACAAGUUGAUGAAAAACAAAAGGGAAUAGUUUCAAAAAUGAGUCACAACAUAUGGUUUAACAACAAGACAAUCCAAAUUCAACAUCUCAUGUAACAAUAUUGCUCUAUGUAGUUUUGAUAAAGAAUUAUAUCAACCACCUAGAAGGAAUGGUUGAGUUGUUAUCCUUAGUAGGAGCCAUGCUUCCACUAAAGACUUGGAUAAUUCUUAUAUGACUACAUUAAAGGUCUUAGUAUGACUAAAACUUAAAGUAUGAUGUAUGACACCAUAUAAUUUAAAUGAAUAGACUUGAUAAAGCAAGUCCACAUUUCAUGGAAUUACUUGAGAAGGAAUUCUUUUGUGUAUGAUUCGUUUAAGUUAAGUGGGAGCAAUAUGCAUUCAAAUCAAGAAAAUAUAAUUAUUAUUUUUGAAUGAAUGCUAAGUUACAACAAGGCCAGUGGGAGUGAUGUUAUAAUUUGAGCAACAUGAUGUGAAUAAAGUCUAUUUGAUAGACUUGAUAAAACAUAAAUGUUACUCAAAAAAUGACAAAACAUGACAUGGUCAAUUUUGAAGCAUAAACUUGAAAUUGGACUUAUUGAUAUAGCAAGGCUAUCUCAAUGAUGUUAUAUGGGAAUUAAAUCUCAAAUGUUGUAGAUUUAAGAAAGCUUUUUCCUAUGUGAUAGAAAAUCACUUUCAUAACCCUUAUAAUGAAUAUGUCACAAAAUCACAAAAGGGACACAUGUAUUGACUUGUGAAGUAGAUAUCCAAAAGUGAAGAACCACAGGGGUUGUCACUUUAAGAUAUUACUAUAUCCCAGGAUCAGAACCAAAGCAACUGAAAGAGUAUUAUUGCCUUUAAGAAAGAAACAUCAGAGUGGGACUCUGGAAGCGUGCAUUCACUUAGGUUGUUAACCAAAGCGAAAAUAAGCCAUUUUAAUAAAUGGAACUUCAUAAUAGAUGAAGUACUAAUCAUAUGAAUGAUUGUUAGUAUUGUACUACAAUGGUCUCAAGGUU